Long non-coding RNA from Leopardus geoffroyi (Geoffroy's cat), 2626 nucleotides. RefSeq lists it as uncharacterized. Lineage: Eukaryota; Metazoa; Chordata; Mammalia; Carnivora; Felidae. The record is from RefSeq and is a predicted model, not a curated record. The transcript is spliced from 5 exons.
UGUUGACAGGCAGGGAAGUGUCCACCUUAGAAAGCCUUCGAGAACUUUUCUCCCCAGGACUUCAGGGAGCCAAUACUGUAAUAACAAGAUCCAGGUUUUAUGUUUUUAACAACACGGUGACAGGAAAAAGUCUUUCUGGCACCUCAGCCUGACGUAGGGUGGCUUCCUGGCACCCAGAGCCUCUUAUGCUGAAGGCAAAGCAGGAGCCCAAAGCGAGAUCCAGCAACCCAAGAGAGACUUCAGGCAAAGAUACGCAGAUACGCAUUGGGAAGCUGGCCGUCAUGCACCGAAGCGGAAACAUGACACGUUCAGGAAAUCUCCGACCUAGGAGUCACCGCUCAUCCAGAGGUCUGUGAAGAAGGUGUGAACACCAGCCCUGCAGUCUCUCCAACGUACAGCAGACGCUAAAUCCAGGAGGCGGCUCAGGCACCAGAGUAAUUCGCAGUUAUGGGAGCCUUUAAACAAUCUCAUUCACUUGCCUUGCCCUAAUCUAACUUCCUCUCCCGGGAUAUGUCUGCAAGACUCAUUACUAAGAAAUGCUGGCCUCGGCCACAUCAUAGGCUUAAGACUCCAGCCCCUCUGCUGCCAUGAGCAAACCUCAGCUGUUCCAAAGCGAAGCCGUAUUUCACCUCUCCCAAGAGGCCAGAUCGAAGCCACACUACAGAUUCCAGAAGGAUGGGCAGAUGCGGGGUAAGAAGGGAGACUCCCUCACUGGGCCAAGGGAGCCGCCUCAGGUCCUCUGUCCUCCAAGAGCACACGGCUAGCUUUGUUCCCGUGUCCCAAACAGGGUGCAGCAUGGUUCAUGCAUGCACCAAGUUCGGUGUGCCCUUCAGGUCAAGGGCGGGAGUGAUGUGUGCUCCUAUGUGCAGCCACUGCAGACUGGGGCUGGGCUCAGCGAGGUGAGUAGAGGGAGGCGAGGUCCAGCAAGGCCCAUUAAUUCAUAUGAGCGUUGUCUUAGCUGGCUGGACUGGAAAUGAAUUCAUAGCCGGGCAGCCUCGGGGCCCUGCUGCUACAAUCUGGGGUGGGGACCACAAAGAGUUUUCAUUGCUGGUCAUACAAAUGGAACAAAACUUUCAAACGCAAUUUCCUCCUGUUUUUUCCCCCACCCUGUGUCAUCUUUAAUCUGUGUUGGGGAAGAUGUGAAGAUCUUGGGUGGAUCAACAGCACAGAGGAGAAGGAAAAUCCUGUAAUGUGAAAUAUUCUCCAGCAAGAAAAGCAAUCGGAGAAGUGACCGCGAAGCCACUUUAGCUGUUUGUGUGCUCUCUCUCUCUCUCUCUCUCUCUCUCUCUCUCUCUCUCAGAAUCCCUCCAGUAAAUAGUUAAAAAAAAAAAACAGAAAAGAUGAUGGCUUUGGAGCGCAUGUUUUUACUGGAAUUGGAAGGGGUUUUAUCAAGAGAAGUCCAGAACACUCCCUUCUCACCUGAAGGAGGACAACACCAUCCGCGCCCCCUUCGCCCCCAUUACAGCACCAGCUUGGGGAAGAGAGCUCAUGAGCUCUUAGCAAUUCCCCUAUUUGCAGACUGAAGCUCCUUUGCUCAAAAACUGAUGAAUACGUUUUCUUUUGUGGCAUGAGAAUAGGUGACCUUUUCCCCCUGAAUUCCCAUCCUGGGGGCCAGGGAAGAGAGCCCAGGAUCCCUUCUCUUGGCCCUUGCACCGUGGGAAAGAGUAUCCAGAGUUGAAAAGCCUGAGAAAUGCCCUGGAACAGCUUUGAAAGUCACUCAGCGUGAGCGCUUGCCCUCUGAAAAAUCAUCCCCGUUGUAUCGCGACAGGCACGCCUCGGGGUCUGUGACCCGGUCCCAGACACAGAGCUGAUUCCCUGUGUCAGCAGAUUCACACCACUUGUCUCGCUUCUGAAAACAGUUUCUAAAGAAUUAUCUGGUGAAGUCAGUUUCCUAGGAGAAUCCAUCACAUCUCUCCAGCAGAUAUUUCCACCCUUGCAAACCAUUAGAUAAACUUAAAGAACAAAUUAGUCCUCACUGUCAGCCCCCCCCCCCCAGCCCUCUCCAGGCCACCACUUAAAUCAUGCUACUUUCUCAGUGGAUUUGAAGCAAGCUUUCAGAUCGGAGCCCUCCAACCAAGAGCCCAAGGACAUAACUCAUAAGAACAAUCGCCCAACAACUGUCUCUUCAACUUCUCCCAUCUGGUAUCUGCUCCCUUGUGAAUGGGGCACCCACCAGCAGGAAGGGUUAGGGCUGGGGUGAGUUAAGUCUUGAAAAGAAAGGGGUGACAGAAAAGGAGCGAGAUCAAAACGGUCCCAGGAGGCAAGUGUCGGGCAAGGGCUUUGAAACCCUUCAAAUAGCUACUUCUGCUCUGUCUUGAUUUUGUCCCACUCUCCAGUGUUACAUACCUGCCACCCUAGAAACCAUGAGCUGUGCGUGGCCACUGGCAAUCAGCUGCUGGUAACUUUAUAAAAGAGUCUGCUCCUGGCCAGAAUCAGAACAAAAUCUACGUUGAUUCACUUGGUAUCCCUAAACUGAAUUAAGCAUCAGAGCGGCACAGUAGGCUGGGAGAAGGACAAAUUUCGACGUCAGGUAAGCCCGAGUUCCACGUUUUGCCUCUGACACUGGUGGUCAAGGCAGGCAAGGUGGUCAGGGCAGGUUAGUCACAGAGUCUCUGCUGUCUGCUCU